UGCUUUUUGUGUACCUAAUAAGUAUGAACAAUCAACAGAUUCUCUUUUAAUUAUGGAUAAUAAACGACCGACACAACCAUAUCAUUUAUAAUCAAAAUCAGGGAAAUGGAAACGCUUAAAACGUCAAAGCGAUAGAAACGACCAUACGGAAGAUUCGUCUUCAUCUAAUAGUGAACAUAGUGCAUGUCGAGGUCCAUGUUCUCAUUCACCAUCCCAUUACAGUCAAUCUUCUCCUGUUCAUGAUCUUUUUUCUUCUUCAUCAGAAACUGACCCGAGCACAUUUGAUUCUCUUUCUAUGGUACUUUUAAAUUAUUGUGUAUGUUUCUCAUAAAAUAUGUUUUUGGCCUAUAAAGUAGGUAUGUUGUCACUCCCUAGGAAUACAACUCAAAUAAUAUUAUUCAUUUGUUAGUGUUGGAAGUUAAUUCCUGGGUUUUAGACUUUGAAAAUCGCAUUCUAUGAAAUUCUUGUUCAUGUCUUUUCAUAAAUGUUGUCUAAGUUUCUAAGUGACUACCCACUACCCAGUACAAUAAUUUAGUUACUCCAUUUUUAGUUCACUUAGUUAAUAGGAAUACAAAUUUAUUCAUGAAUAAAGAAAAUUAAAACUUUAUUUUUUUUGUUAGAUCAAACACCGGUACUGCUCCAGCAGACAUCAAUGAGGAACUUUCCAAAGUUGAGUAGAUUAUUUGUAAGUAGAGACGUUAGAUAUUUAGGGUAUUUUUAAUAUGUAUUUUGUAUUAUCUAUUGAUUUAUUUC
This is a long non-coding RNA of Photinus pyralis (common eastern firefly), 753 nucleotides long. RefSeq lists it as uncharacterized. The record is from RefSeq and is a predicted model, not a curated record. The transcript is spliced from 2 exons. NCBI's taxonomy places the organism in Eukaryota, Metazoa, Arthropoda, Insecta, Coleoptera, Lampyridae.